This 253-nucleotide ribosomal RNA is filed under the name uncultured bacterium. Its description in RNAcentral is "partial 16S ribosomal RNA". It matches the Rfam family "Bacterial small subunit ribosomal RNA", at positions 524 to 777 of the family's 1533-position model. The record is from RNAcentral.
UACGAAGGGGGCUAGCGUUGCUCGGAAUCACUGGGCGUAAAGCGCACGUAGGCGGAUCUUUAAGUCAGGGGUGAAAUCCCAAGGCUCAACCUUGGAACUGCCUUUGAUACUGGGGAUCUCGAGUCCGGAAGAGGUUGGUGGAACUGCGAGUGUAGAGGUGAAAUUCGUAGAUAUUCGCAAGAACACCAGUGGCGAAGGCGACUUAUGUGCACGUAUUGACGCUGAGGUGCGAAAGCGUGGGGAGCAAACAGGG